Musa acuminata subsp. malaccensis (wild Malaysian banana) is the source of this 501-nucleotide long non-coding RNA. RefSeq lists it as uncharacterized. NCBI's taxonomy places the organism in Eukaryota, Viridiplantae, Streptophyta, Magnoliopsida, Zingiberales, Musaceae. The record is from RefSeq and is a predicted model, not a curated record.
GAGAGGUCCUCCGCAGCGGACCUUGAAACCCCCGCCGGAUGGCGUCGAGUUUCGGAGAAAGCGUAGCCUCACUGGCCUUCCUAUUUUCUCACCCAGGCCACACUUUACCUUGCCUCAAAUACCAUGGACCGAGUAUCCUUCUCCUGGUUCUCAGAUCAUGCUGAAUCAACAGUCAUCUUCCUUCCAAGAUGAUGCUUCCUAGCUCUUAAUCUGAGGUGUUUGAUGUGUUUGUAAAGGUAUGUGAUAAUGGUGUGUGAAUCAAUGAGUCGAGAAAAAUUUGAUAUCUCUGCUGUCGAUUCGGUUUUGGUAGUUGGAAAUCUAAAUGCUAGUUAGUAAAGUCAAAGAAGCUUGAGAUAACAUCAUAAAUCAAGAAAAUGUCACUGUUAUGAUGCAACUUUCUCUUUUAUUUUUCUUGUGUGCCGGAUGUGGUUUUAAUUGAUACAGCAUAUCGGUAUCUGCAGUGACAUCGCAUAACAAAUUUCAUUUGGUCACUUGAGAUUU